Molecule: ribosomal RNA, 385 nt
Filed under: uncultured bacterium
Lineage: Bacteria
Description: bacterial SSU rRNA
Rfam family: Bacterial small subunit ribosomal RNA
Source: RNAcentral
AGCGAACGUUUGCGGCGGGCCUAACACAUGCAAGUCGAACGCACUAGCAAUAGUGAGUGGCGCACGGGUGCGUAACACGUGGGUAAUCAACCCUUCAGCCUGGGAUAACGACUCGAAAGGGUCGCUAAUACCGGAUACGGCGCGAGAGGCUUCGGCUUCUCACGAGAAAGCCACGCAAGGGGCACUGAAGGACGAGCCCUGCGGCCCAUCAGCUAGUUGGUGAGGUAAGAGCUCACCAAGGCUAAGACGGGUAGCUGGUCUGAGAGGAUGAUCAGCCACACUGGAACUGAGACACGGUCCAGACUCCUACGGGAGGCAGCAGUGGGGAAUAUUGCGCAAUGGGCGAAAGCCUGACGCAGCCACGCCGCGUGAGCGAUGAAGGCCU